Molecule: ribosomal RNA, 373 nt
Filed under: uncultured bacterium
Lineage: Bacteria
Description: bacterial SSU rRNA
Rfam family: Bacterial small subunit ribosomal RNA
Source: RNAcentral
ACGAACGCUGGCGGCGUGCUUAACACAUGCAAGUCGAGCGGUAAGGCCCUUUCGGGGGUACACGAGCGGCGAACGGGUGAGUAACACGUGGGUGACCUGCCCUCAGCUCUGGGAUAAGCCUGGGAAACCGGGUCUAAUACCGGAUAUGACUCCAUGACGCAUGUUGUGGGGUGGAAAGCCUUGUGCGGCUGAGGAUGGGCCCGCGGCCUAUCAGCUUGUUGGUGGGGUGAUGGCCACCAAGGCGACGACGGGUAGCCGGCCUGAGAGGGCGACCGGCCACACUGGGACUGAGACACGGCCCAGACUCCUACGGGAGGCAGCAGUGGGGAAUCUUGCGCAAUGGGCGAAAGCCUGACGCAGCGACGCCGCGUGA